UGGGGAAUUUUGGUCAAUGGCCGCAAGGCUGAACCAGCGACGCCGCGUGCGGGAGGAAGCCCCUCGGGGUGUAAACCGCUGUCAGAGGGGAAGAACCGUGGGGUGGUGAACAGCCAUCUCGCCUGACGGUACCCUCAAAGGAAGCGCCGGCUAACUCCGUGCCAGCAGCCGCGGUAAUACGGAGGGUGCAAGCGUUGUUCGGAAUUAUUGGGCGUAAAGCGCGUGUAGGCGGUCUGUUAAGUCUGAUGUGAAAGCCCCGGGCUCAACCCGGGAAGUGCAUUGGAAACUGGCCGACUUGAGUACGGGAGAGGGUAGUGGAAUUCCGAGUGUAGGGGUGAAAUCCGUAGAUAUUCGGAGGAACACCGGUGGCGAAGGCGGCUACCUGGACCGAUACUGACGCUGAGACGCGAAAGCGUGGGGAGCAA
RNAcentral lists this ribosomal RNA (425 nucleotides) under uncultured bacterium. RNAcentral's name for it is "bacterial SSU rRNA". It matches the Rfam family "Bacterial small subunit ribosomal RNA", at positions 355 to 771 of the family's 1533-position model. The record is from RNAcentral.